RNAcentral lists this ribosomal RNA (433 nucleotides) under uncultured bacterium. Its description in RNAcentral is "partial 16S ribosomal RNA". It matches the Rfam family "Bacterial small subunit ribosomal RNA", at positions 29 to 507 of the family's 1533-position model. The record is from RNAcentral.
AACGAACGCUGGCGGCAUGCCUAACACAUGCAAGUCGAACGAGACCUUCGGGUCUAGUGGCGCACGGGUGCGUAACGCGUGGGAACCUGCCCUUAGGUUCGGAAUAACUCCCCGAAAGGGGUGCUAAUACCGGAUAAUGUCUUCGGACCAAAGAUUUAUCGCCUUUGGAUGGGCCCGCGUUGGAUUAGCGAGUUGGUAGGGUAAAAGCCUACCAAGGCGACGAUCCAUAGCUGGUCUGAGAGGAGGAUCAGCCGCACUGGGACUGAGACACGGCCCAGACUCGGACGGGAGGGAGCAGUGGGGAAUAUUGGACGAGGGGCGAAAGCCUGAUCCAGCAGUGCCGCGUGAGUGAUGAAGGGCUUAGGGUUGUAAAGCUCUUUUACCCGGGAUGAUAAUGACGGUACCGGGAGAAUAAGCACCGGCUAACUCCGUG